GGACCUUUAGCUCAACUGGUUAGAGCACUCGGCUCAAAACCGAGCGGUCGGAGGUUCGAGUCCUACAAGGGCGG
This 74-nucleotide transfer RNA is filed under the name Streptococcus agalactiae GB00082. RNAcentral's name for it is "tRNA-Leu". It matches the Rfam family "tRNA". From Rfam's summary of the family: Transfer RNA (tRNA) molecules are approximately 80 nucleotides in length. Their secondary structure includes four short double-helical elements and three loops (D, anti-codon, and T loops). Further hydrogen bonds mediate the characteristic L-shaped molecular structure. tRNAs have two regions of fundamental functional importance: the anti-codon, which is responsible for specific mRNA codon recognition, and the 3' end, to which the tRNAs corresponding amino acid is attached (by aminoacyl-tRNA synthetases). tRNAs cope with the degeneracy of the genetic code in two manners: having more than one tRNA (with a specific anti-codon) for a particular amino acid; and 'wobble' base-pairing, i.e. permitting non-standard base-pairing at the 3rd anti-codon position. Lineage: Bacteria; Bacillati; Bacillota; Bacilli; Lactobacillales; Streptococcaceae. The record is from RNAcentral.